AGCUGGCUGGUGCCAUGAGGUGACUUCUGCCCAGUGCUCUGAUUGUUACUGCGAAGAGAUUCAGCCAAGCGCGGGUAAACGGCGGGAGUAACUAUGACUCUCUUAAGGUAGCCAAAUGCCUCGUCAACCAAUUAUUGACGCGCAUGAAUGGAUCAACGAGAUUCCUGCUGUCCCUAGUUGCUGUCUGGUGAACCAACAGCCAAGGGAACGGGCUUGGAUGUGUCAGCGGGGAAAGAAGACCCUGUUGAGUUUGACUCUAGUUUGAUGCUGUGCAGUGACAUGUGGGGUGUAGCACAGGUGGGAGGCCAGUGCCAUGGCACCACCCCGAAGAGGAACGUAUGAUUUUCAGCAGGAACGUAUGACUACAGGAUGACCAAGGUGCAAACCAGCAGUGAAAUACCACUACCUUCACCGUCGCUUUACUCAUCGAGUUGCCUGGGAACGGCAGCCAUGAAUUCGGCUCUUUCGGUCUCGGCCAAAGAACUGUGGCUAUCCACCGAUUCGUGCUCAAAGCGCGGCCUCGUGUCGCGCAACCCUGGAAGCAGCAAUCCAAUCAGAAGCCUCGAGACAUUGAUCAGUUGGGGAGUUUGGCUGGGGCGGCACGCCUGUUACAGGACAACGCAGGCGUCCUGAAGCAAUGCUCAGAUGGAACAGAAAUCUCACAUGGAGGAGCAGGCCAAAGGUGCUGCUGAUGCGUCGACUCUCAGUACGAGUCCAAAACGUGCAAGUGUGGCCUUGCGAUCCUUUGGUCAAGCACACGAGUUUGGGAUAUUGAAGCCAGAGGUGUCAGAAAAAUUACCACAGGGAUAACUGGCUUGUGGCUGCCAAGCGUUCAAAGCGACGUCGCUUUUUGAUCCUUCGAUGUCGGCUCUUCCUAGCUUCCCACCCGCAGCCGAGUGGAAGAGUUGGAUUGUUCACCCACUAACAGGGAACGUGAGCUGG
Molecule: ribosomal RNA, 942 nt
Filed under: Colacium sp. Gungnamji122107J
Lineage: Eukaryota; Euglenozoa; Euglenophyceae; Euglenales; Euglenaceae
Description: LSU rRNA
Rfam family: Eukaryotic large subunit ribosomal RNA
Source: RNAcentral